UUCAAAAAAAUAUAAAAGUAUUUUAAUAAAUAUUUUAUCGGCUAUAUUUAAGGUUGUAAAUAUAUUUUAUUUUUCAGAUCUAAAAGGAUAAGCUUUUAGAUUUAAGAUAAUUAAGAUUUAUAGUAUUAAAUAUAAAGUUAUGUGGGCUUAGAAUUAGCCAUUAUUAAAGUUUGUUAUAAGAUAUCUUCUUAAAUAAUCAUAAAAUUUUUGUAUUUUUAUUCUAAUAAUCUAAUGAAGAUAACAAUUUCAAUUAAAGUAAAUUUUUUGCCUAUGCUAAAAUGAGUAUUAUAUUAACUUUUAAAUAAUUUAUAUAAUUAUCUUUAUUAAUGUUAAAAGCACCAAUUAGGAAAAAGGAACUCGGCAAAAUUUGUUUCGCCUGUUUAUCAAAAACAUGGCUCUUUGUAUGAUAUAAAUAAAGAGUCUAACCUGCCCAGUGAAAUUUUUAACGGCCGCGGUACUCUGACCGUGCAAAGGUAGCAUAAUCAUUUGCCUUAUAAUUAAAGGCUAGUAUGAAUGGUUUAACGAAAACAAAACUGUCUCCUUCCUAAUAUCUAAAAAUUAACCUAUAGGUGAAGAGGCCUAUAUAGAAUUAAAGGACAAGAAGACCCUAUCGAGCUUAAAAGAUAUUAUAGAAAUAAAAUAUCUAUUGAAAUAUAUAAUUCAUUAAGCUUUUUAGUUGGGGCGACUAAGGAACAAAUAAAGCUUCUUUUUUUAUAUAUAACAUAUAAGUUCAGAUCCAAUAUAUUCAUUGAUCAAAAGAAUUAGUUACCGUAGGGAUAACAGCAUAAUCUCUCUUAAGAGAUCUAAUCGAAAGAGGGGAUUGUGACCUCGAUGUUGGAUUAGAGUAUCCUCAAGAUGCAGAUGUCU
This 867-nucleotide ribosomal RNA is filed under the name Paludomus siamensis. Its description in RNAcentral is "partial large subunit ribosomal RNA". The stretch from base 272 to 867 matches the Rfam family "Archaeal large subunit ribosomal RNA", at positions 1423 to 2633 of the family's 2987-position model. Lineage: Eukaryota; Metazoa; Mollusca; Gastropoda; Paludomidae. The record is from RNAcentral.